RNAcentral lists this ribosomal RNA (576 nucleotides) under Sciaenops ocellatus (red drum). RNAcentral describes it as "partial 16S ribosomal RNA". It matches the Rfam family "Bacterial large subunit ribosomal RNA", at positions 1817 to 2597 of the family's 2925-position model. The record is from RNAcentral. Lineage: Eukaryota; Metazoa; Chordata; Actinopteri; Sciaenidae.
CGCCUCUUGCAAAAUUAACGAAUAAGAGGUCCUGCCUGCCCUGUGACCAUGAGUUCAACGGCCGCGGUAUUUUGACCGUGCAAAGGUAGCGCAAUCACUUGUCUUUUAAAUGAAGACCCGUAUGAAUGGCAAGACGAGGGCUUAGCUGUCUCCUUUUUCAAGUCAAUGAAAUUGAUCUUCCCGUGCAGAAGCGGGAAUUCCGACAUAAGACGAGAAGACCCUAUGGAGCUUUAGACACCAAGACAGACCACGUCAAAACUCCCUAAUAAAGGGCCGAACUAAAUGGACCCUGUCCUAAUGUCUUUGGUUGGGGCGACCACGGGGAAAUACAAAACCCCCGCGUGGAAUGGGAGCACCCUUGCUCCUACAACUGAGAGCUUCCGCUCUAAUAAACAGAAUUUCUGACCAACAAGAUCCGGCAACGCCGAUCAACGAACCGAGUUACCCUAGGGAUAACAGCGCAAUCCUCUUUUAGAGCCCAUAUCGACAAGGGGGUUUACGACCUCGAUGUUGGAUCAGGACAUCCUAAUGGUGCAGCCGCUAUUAAGGGUUCGUUUGUUCAACGAUUAAAGUCCU